This is a small nucleolar RNA of Mobula hypostoma (lesser devil ray), 97 nucleotides long. RefSeq annotates it as Z30 small nucleolar RNA. NCBI's taxonomy places the organism in Eukaryota, Metazoa, Chordata, Chondrichthyes, Myliobatiformes, Myliobatidae. The record is from RefSeq and is a predicted model, not a curated record. The transcript has a single exon.
AGGCUGUGAUGAGCUAAGAGUUUCUGACCUGGUAUUGCCAACCCUCUAUUGGGUGUCUCUGACCAGGAGAUGAACAUUUAAUCUUCUCUCUGAGCUA